RNAcentral lists this ribosomal RNA (1548 nucleotides) under Pseudomonas sp. SZ57. RNAcentral describes it as "partial 23S ribosomal RNA". It matches the Rfam family "Bacterial large subunit ribosomal RNA", at positions 1 to 1592 of the family's 2925-position model. The record is from RNAcentral. Lineage: Bacteria; Pseudomonadati; Pseudomonadota; Gammaproteobacteria; Pseudomonadales; Pseudomonadaceae.
GUUAUAUGGUCAAGUGAAGAAGCGCAUACGGUGGAUGCCUUGGCAGUCAGAGGCGAUGAAAGACGUGGUAGCCUGCGAAAAGCUUCGGGGAGUCGGCAAACAGACUGUGAUCCGGAGAUAUCUGAAUGGGGGAACCCAGCCAUCAUAAGAUGGUUAUCUUGUACUGAAUACAUAGGUGCAAGAGGCGAACCAGGGGAACUGAAACAUCUAAGUACCCUGAGGAAAAGAAAUCAACCGAGAUUCCCUUAGUAGUGGCGAGCGAACGGGGACCAGCCCUUAAGUUGUAUUGAGAUUAGCGGAACACUCUGGAAAGGGUGGCCAUAGUGGGUGAUAGCCCUGUACGCGAAAAUCCCUUUGCAAUGAAAUCGAGUAGGACGGGGCACGAGAAACCUUGUCUGAAUAUGGGGGGACCAUCCUCCAAGGCUAAAUACUACUGACUGACCGAUAGUGAACCAGUACCGUGAGGGAAAGGCGAAAAGAACCGCGGAGAGCGGAGUGAAAUAGAUCCUGAAACCGUAUGCGUACAAGCAGUGGGAGCCCACUUUGUUGGGUGACUGCGUACCUUUUGUAUAAUGGGUCAGCGACUUAUUUUCAGUGGCGAGCUUAACCGAAUAGGGGAGGCGUAGCGAAAGCGAGUCUUAAUAGGGCGUCUAGUCGCUGGGAAUAGACCCGAAACCGGGCGAUCUAUCCAUGGGCAGGUUGAAGGUUGGGUAACACUAACUGGAGGACCGAACCGACUACCGUUGAAAAGUUAGCGGAUGACCUGUGGAUCGGAGUGAAAGGCUAAUCAAGCUCGGAGAUAGCUGGUUCUCCUCGAAAGCUAUUUAGGUAGCGCCUCAUGUAUCACUGUAGGGGGUAGAGCACUGUUUCGGCUAGGGGGUCAUCCCGACUUACCAAACCGAUGCAAACUCCGAAUACCUACAAGUGCCGAGCAUGGGAGACACACGGCGGGUGCUAACGUCCGUCGUGAAAAGGGAAACAACCCAGACCGUCAGCUAAGGUCCCAAAGUCAUGGUUAAGUGGGAAACGAUGUGGGAAGGCUUAGACAGCUAGGAGGUUGGCUUAGAAGCAGCCACCCUUUAAAGAAAGCGUAAUAGCUCACUAGUCGAGUCGGCCUGCGCGGAAGAUGUAACGGGGCUCAAACCAUGCACCGAAGCUACGGGUAUCAUCUUUUGAUGAUGCGGUAGAGGAGCGUUCUGUAAGCCUGUGAAGGUGAGUUGAGAAGCUUGCUGGAGGUAUCAGAAGUGCGAAUGCUGACAUGAGUAACGACAAUGGGUGUGAAAAACACCCACGCCGAAAGACCAAGGUUUCCUGCGCAACGUUAAUCGACGCAGGGUUAGUCGGUCCCUAAGGCGAGGCUGAAAAGCGUAGUCGAUGGAAAACAGGUUAAUAUUCCUGUACUUCUGGUUAUUGCGAUGGAGGGACGGAGAAGGCUAGGCCAGCCUGGCGUUGGUUGUCCAGGUUUAAGGUGGUAGGCUGAGAUCUUAGGUAAAUCCGGGAUCUUAAGGCCGAGAGCUGAUGACGAGUGUUCUUUUAGAACACGAAGUG